This 238-nucleotide unclassified non-coding RNA is filed under the name Hevea brasiliensis (rubber tree). Lineage: Eukaryota; Viridiplantae; Streptophyta; Magnoliopsida; Malpighiales; Euphorbiaceae. The record is from RNAcentral.
CAAUAAAUCAAGCGGAUGUGAAUUUCCCCCUUAAAUCAGGCGUAGACAGGCUCAUAGUCCCAGUCCAUCCCUUGCAAAUCACAACAAUGGCCAAAACCCCCCUCGGCACUCUCAUUCUCACCUCCGACUUCCUCUUUCUCUUCAUUGUUUACACAUUUUCUCUUGCCACUGCAAAAUCUCACCAUUUCUCGAGAACCUUAUCUCCAACCAAUCUUGGUCUCAAGAAAGAGAAGCUAAG